Molecule: long non-coding RNA, 1037 nt
Filed under: Junco hyemalis (dark-eyed junco)
Lineage: Eukaryota; Metazoa; Chordata; Aves; Passeriformes; Passerellidae
Description: lncRNA (ENSJHYG00000015800.1)
Source: RNAcentral
GCCUCUGUCCAUUUUUCCUGUAGGUCCUGAAAUCCCGCUUGUCUUUCUGAGGAAUUGGUGAUUGGCUGCGCAUUCUGUGGUGUUUUGGGAUAAUGGGGAUUGAUAUUCAUCAGCAGUCUGACGUGGGAAUUGGUAACGAGCUCCCAAAAGAAGAGGCUUGUUGGAGAUGUGUAAUGAUAACGUUCCUGCACAGCUGCUUUUGUGAGGGGGGAUAAUUUGGCAGCCCUGGAGCUGCUGUUGGCUCUGCGGUUGGUGGAGAAAUGAUGGAGUGGACGUUCCCCCAGAGCUGCUCUGGGGUGAGCUGGUGCCAUUGCACUGCGCUGCCUCCACCAAAAAAGAAAUUAUUUGAUUUUCCUUAAACCUUUAGGAAAAGGAAUUCAUGCUCAAAUGGCCUUAGCUUUCAUUUUCUCCCACAAAUAAUGUUGGAUCCCAUGUGAUAAUUUAUCCACAGAAACACUUUUUUAUCCUGCCCUACUCCUAACGAGCAAUUUCUGCAGACAGAAAAUCCUUAAAUGUGGAAAGGCCAGAGGCUGGUACAAGCUAAACAGAGGAAGAUAAAAUCAAAUACAAAACCACAGUGUGGCAAGAUAAGAGGCAACAGAGCCUCAGAACAAAAUAUUUAGAUAAGGAUUAUUUGGGACACUGCAGGGAAGGGAUUGGAAGUUGAGGGCUCUGCUUUUCCUUGCCACAUUCCUCAUCCUCCCCAUCCCUCUCCAGCCUCUCCCUUUGGUUUUUGUCCUUGGGGCUGCUCAGAAGUUGUCACUGAGCGAGGACAGAGCUGCAGAGCCACCAUGGAGAGGAACCUGGCCUGGCUGGUUUGGAAUAAGAACAAUUCCCUGGCCCUGCUUUCCUGCAGAGGGGGAACUGUGGGCCGUGCAAUCUCAGCGCAGUCACUGAGGGAGGCUGGAGCCCAGCCCUUGGGUAAAACCAAACCAGUGGUUUUAUCUUUAAUGGAGAUAACAGCUGGAAGUGCUGUCAGCAGGAAUGGCAGGAAUGCUGCCCACAGGAGCCGGGGGACCUGUGGGAAGAGAAAAUGA